This 440-nucleotide ribosomal RNA is filed under the name uncultured bacterium. Its description in RNAcentral is "bacterial SSU rRNA". It matches the Rfam family "Bacterial small subunit ribosomal RNA", at positions 338 to 795 of the family's 1533-position model. The record is from RNAcentral.
CCUACGGGAGGCAGCAGUGGGGAAUAUUGGGCAAUGGGCGCAAGCCUGACCCAGCAAUGCCGCGUGGGUGAAGAAGGUCUUCGGAUUGUAAAGCCCUUUCGGCGGGGACGAUGGUGACGGUACCCGCAGAAGAAGCCCCGGCCAACUUCGUGCCAGCAGCCGCGGUAAUACGAAGGGGGCUAGCGUUGCUCGGAAUCACUGGGCGUAAAGGGCGCGUAGGCGGCCCCGUUGGUCGGGCGUGAAAUCCCCGGGCUCAACCCGGGGGCUGCGCCCGAAACGGCGGGGCUUGAGGCGAGGAGAGGGCCGCGGAAUUCCCAGUGUAGAGGUGAAAUUCGUAGAUAUUGGGAAGAACACCGGUGGCGAAGGCGGCGGCCUGGCCUCGAACUGACGCUGAGGCGCGACAGCGUGGGGAGCAAACAGGAUUAGAUACCCUAGUAGUC